Molecule: non-coding RNA, 22 nt
Filed under: Arabidopsis thaliana (thale cress)
Lineage: Eukaryota; Viridiplantae; Streptophyta; Magnoliopsida; Brassicales; Brassicaceae
Source: RNAcentral
CUACUUCCCUAUGUUGCUUGUA